Molecule: long non-coding RNA, 818 nt
Filed under: Mytilus galloprovincialis (Mediterranean mussel)
Lineage: Eukaryota; Metazoa; Mollusca; Bivalvia; Mytilida; Mytilidae
Source: RNAcentral
AAACCGACAUUUUUUGGUAUUUUUCACGUCGCCAAAAGUACCCUUUAAACCACAAAGAUUUGGUUUUUCUUCAAGAUCAAUUGAAUAAUUUGAUUGAAAUGAAAUUUGUUGCUCCACGCUGUGCCUUAGUUGUUUAGAAUAACUAGACAUUUGAAUACAUUAGAAAUAGCACAAAUACUUCGGAUAGAACAAUCGGUGAAUGGUGAAUAGUCAACUGAUAAUACAGAAAUACAAUAUUUAAAUUUAACCUAUCAACGAAGAUCAAUUAACUUCAUUUAAGACGUUUAAAAGAUGCUGUCAAGUAGUAAAAAUACUACGAGAACAAUAUUUGAAUAAAUUGACAGUAAAUGAAAUCCUACACCAUGUGAAAAUUUCUAUAAUUAUUACUGAUGCUAGCAUGACUCAGUUUCGAUAACUGUUCAAUGUUAUUUAAUAGAAAUGUAAAGGGAUAAAAUUAUUGGUGGCACCCCAAAUGAAAUUAGACAAAAAUAAAAUCAUUCAUAUGAUUUGUGGCAAAAAUAAAAGUGAAAGCAUGAUAAUACAUAUUUUUAAAACAACAUUUUUUUUGAGAACGUUAUUUAUGAUUGACAAAUAUAGAAAUGAUCUCAGUGCAUAGGUUUAUUUGUCUCCUUUUUAUUACUUAGGAGUAGAAUGUACUGUCCUAGUCCUUGUACUUGUAAAAUUACGUUUGAAGGACCAAUGUAUUUGUAUCGCGUAUAUUUGCAUGUUUAUACUGAUAGUUUUUGUUUGCCCAUUGUAUAUCUUCAUAUCCUCUCUUGGAUUAACUUGAACAAGAUCUGUAUAUUAUGCAGAAGCAG